RNAcentral lists this transfer RNA (57 nucleotides) under Ovis aries (sheep). It matches the Rfam family "tRNA", at positions 8 to 63 of the family's 71-position model. From Rfam's summary of the family: Transfer RNA (tRNA) molecules are approximately 80 nucleotides in length. Their secondary structure includes four short double-helical elements and three loops (D, anti-codon, and T loops). Further hydrogen bonds mediate the characteristic L-shaped molecular structure. tRNAs have two regions of fundamental functional importance: the anti-codon, which is responsible for specific mRNA codon recognition, and the 3' end, to which the tRNAs corresponding amino acid is attached (by aminoacyl-tRNA synthetases). tRNAs cope with the degeneracy of the genetic code in two manners: having more than one tRNA (with a specific anti-codon) for a particular amino acid; and 'wobble' base-pairing, i.e. permitting non-standard base-pairing at the 3rd anti-codon position. Lineage: Eukaryota; Metazoa; Chordata; Mammalia; Artiodactyla; Bovidae. The record is from Rfam by way of RNAcentral.
UGGCUCAGAGGUUAAAGCGUCUGCCUCCAAUGCAGGAGAUCCAGGUUCUAUCCCUGG